GAUGGCAGAAAGGUCCAUUGGGAAUGCGUCCGGUCCCGGAAGCUCUUCCAAACGGUUAGACAUUUCACGAAGAGCCUGUGCCCAACGAGAAGUAGAGUCUGCCAUCA
Molecule: ribosomal RNA, 107 nt
Filed under: Porphyromonas canoris
Lineage: Bacteria; Pseudomonadati; Bacteroidota; Bacteroidia; Bacteroidales; Porphyromonadaceae
Also listed under: 2 other names
Source: RNAcentral